CAAACGGCCCUCUUUAGGGCCACAAAUUCAUGAGUCAUGCUUCUCU
Non-coding RNA from Gongylonema pulchrum, 46 nucleotides. Lineage: Eukaryota; Metazoa; Nematoda; Chromadorea; Rhabditida; Gongylonematidae. The record is from Rfam.